GGUGCUUCGGGAUGGGCCUGCGUGGCUAUCAGCUAGUCGUGCUGGGGUAAUGGCCCACCAAGGCGAAGACGGGUAAGGGGCUUUAUAGCGCGGGCCCCCACACUGGCACUGACAUACGGGCCAGACUUCUACGGAAGGCAUGCAGUCGCGGAUAUUGCACAAUUCGGUCGAAAGCCGGAUGCGGCGACGCCGCGUGGGCGAUGAAGGCCUUCGUGGUUGUAAAGCCCUUUUAUGGGGGAAGAGACAACGACGGUACCCCAGGAAUAAGCGUCGGCUAACUACGUGCCAGCAGCCGCGGUAAAACGUAGGACGCAAGCGUUAUCCGGAUUUACUGGGCGUAAAGAGCGUCGAGGCGGUUCCGUAAGUUGGGCGUGAAAGCCCCGGGCUUAACCCGGGGAGGUCGUUCAAUACUGCGGGACUUGAGGGCACCAGAGGGAGGCGGAAUUCCCGUGUGUAGCGGUGAAACGCGUAGAUAUCGGGAGGAACACCAGUGGCCGAAGGCGGCCUCCUGGGCUGUUUCUGACGCCGAAGGCGAAAGCUAGGGGAGCGAACGGGAUUAGAAACCCCGGUAGUCCUAGCCGUAAACGAUGGAUGCUGGGUGUGGGGGGUAUAGAUCCCCUCCGUGCCGAAGCUAACGCGUUAAGCAUGACCGCCUGGGGAUUACGGCCGCAAGGAUUAAACUCAAACGAAUUGACGGGGGCCCGCACAAGCAGCGGAGAGUGUGGUUUAAGUUGAUGCUACACGAAGAACCUUACCUGGGCUUGACAUGUAGGUAGUAGUGAAGCGAAAGCGGAACGACCUUUCGGGGAGCCUACACAGGUGCGUGCAUGGCUGUCGUCAGUUCGGGCCGUGAGGCGUCGGGUUAAGUCCCGUAACGAACGCAACCCUUGCCCUGAGUUACAUGUGUCUAAGGGGACUGCCCGGGACUCCUGGGAGGAAGAUGGGGAUGACGUCAAGUCAGCAUGGCCGUUAUGUCCAGGGCUACACACACGUUACAAUGGCCGGUACAAUGGGUCGCCAAGCCGUGAGGCGGAGCCAAUCCCCCAGAGCCGGUCUAAGUUCGGAUUGUGGGCUGCAACUCGCGCAUAUGAAGCUGGAGUUGCUAGUAACCGCGCGUCAGCAAUAGUGCAGUGAAUACGUUCCCGGGCAUUGUACACACCGCCCGUCACGUCAUGGAAG
Molecule: ribosomal RNA, 1179 nt
Filed under: uncultured organism
Description: bacterial SSU rRNA
Rfam family: Bacterial small subunit ribosomal RNA
Source: RNAcentral